GACGAACGCUGGCGGCGUGCCUAAUACAUGCAAGUCGAACGCUGAAGGAGGAGCUUGCUCUUCUGGAUGAGUUGUGAACGGGUGAGUAACGCGUAGGUAACCUGCCUGGUAGCGGGGGAUAACUAUUGGAAACGAUAGCUAAUACCGCAUAACAGUAGAUGUUGCAUGACAUUUACUUAAAAGGUGCAAUUGCAUCACUACCAGAUGGACCUGCGUUGUAUUAGCUAGUUGGUGGGGUAACGGCUCACCAAGGCGACGAUACAUAGCCGACCUGAGAGGGUGAUCGGCCACACUGGGACUGAGACACGGCCCAGACUCCUACGGGAGGCAGCAGUAGGGAAUCUUCGGCAAUGGACGGAAGUCUGACCGAGCAACGCCGCGUGAGUGAAGAAGGUUUUCGGAUCGUAAAGCUCUGUUGUAAGAGAAGAACGAGUGUGAGAGUGGAAAGUUCACACUGUGACGGUAUCUUACCAGAAAGGGACGGCUAACUACGUG
Molecule: ribosomal RNA, 495 nt
Filed under: uncultured bacterium
Lineage: Bacteria
Description: partial 16S ribosomal RNA
Rfam family: Bacterial small subunit ribosomal RNA
Source: RNAcentral